This 1337-nucleotide long non-coding RNA is filed under the name Monodelphis domestica (gray short-tailed opossum). RNAcentral's name for it is "lncRNA (ENSMODG00000038820.1)". Lineage: Eukaryota; Metazoa; Chordata; Mammalia; Didelphimorphia; Didelphidae. The record is from RNAcentral.
GCCUCAGAAAACCCUACAUCUAAACAAACCACCCCUCCCCCUGCCCCACCAGCCUCAGAAAACCCUAGUUCUAACCAACCCACUCCUCCCACUACUCAUGCUUUCGAUUCCACACCCUCAACUCUAAGUACACACCACACCCAUUCUUCUGAUCCUAAGGCCUCCACUUCACACCUUACUGAUUCCUCCAAUCCUAACACCUCUGUAUCCUUUCACACUUCUUCCUUUGCUCCUCUUUCCCAUCCUGCUCAAUUCAAUUCUCAGAUCUUUCCUACCUCUGAUCUUUCUGGCACUAUGGGACAACAACAAACCCUCUCUUUUAAUGUGCCCAACUCUUCUAUUUCUCAUACUUACCCCAUUGAGAAUGGAGCAAGAAGCCUAGAAAAAGGAAUAGGAGUACCAAAUAAUUCAGACAGGUUAUUUCCUUUAAGGGAAGUACCCACUUUUAAUAAAGAUGGAAACUUGGUAUCUGUAAGACAUCAUACACCUUUUACCCCUGAGGAUUUAAAUAAACUUAAGGAAAAUCUUCUAUCAUUUGAGGAAGAACCAAUAUUAAUUAUAAAAAAAUUAGAGAACAUAUUCAGAACUUUGGACCCCACUUGGUUGGAUGUUGAGAAUAUAUUAGAAGAAUUAUUAACAAAGAGAAAAAAAAUCAUCUCUCUGGCUAAUCAAAAACAAGGUAAAAAAGGAAAUUAUUGGCCAACUGAAUAUCCACAUUGGAACCCCAAUGUUGAACUAGAUCACACAAAACUAAACCAGGCCAGAGAAGCAUUAUUGACAGCCAUGAGAGCUUGCUCUGAUAGACCUGAAAAAUGGUCAAAAUUUGAAAGAACCCGACAAGAUAUUGAUGAAACACCCUCCCAGUUUAUGGACAGACUUAUUGACGUAGGGAAUACAUAUAUGGACCUUGAUUUCUCCAGAGAAAGAGACAUUAGACAAAUACGUAGGCGAUUUGUUGAGAAUUGUUGUUCAGUGGUAAAAGACUACUUUAAAACUAGUUGUCCUAAUUGGGACUCUAUGGACCUUGAAGAAUUGAGGAGAGUAGCAACCUAUGUUUAUAAAGGUUGUGUAAAAAGACCUGAGGAAGGCAAUACUUUAGUGGAAGACUUAAAGAAAGAAAUUGAAAUGUUAAAGAGACAAUUGAAAAAUAAGGGAGAGAUUAUAGCCCCUUUGCAGGAAUUCACAAAUAAUCAGUAACUUGCCACUUCUGUGAGAAGAAGGGCUACAAAAUGAUGGAAUGUAGAACCUUUUUUAAGAUGAUCAGAAGGAAUACGCAAUUUAAUAACAACUUUAUAAAUAAUAACUAUAGAAAUGAUGAUAAUGGUCAUAGAAACCAG